GGGGAUGAACAGGUUUCGAUUGCGAAUGCGCGAAAAGAUAAGCAUGUCGGUGAACGAGUGGCACCGUAAAAACAUUCGGCUUAAAUUUAAAUGCAGAUCAUUCUGUAAACAGCGCUAAUUACGCUUACGCUGCCUAGUUGCAGCUUGUCUCCCUCCGUUCUCACCGCCGGAGUGUGAGGCAUCAUUCAGGUGAAAUCUCCCUUAUUGUUUCGAAAGCGGCAAUAAACGGAACUUCAGCUUUCUGCGUGUUUGCUCCCCUGUCGAUCGGGGUAGCAAGCAUUAAGAAUCGUAGAUCGCACUAAGCAUGUAGAAGGUCUUUUGGCAAAUUCGUAAGACCGGAGUUCGAGUCUCCGCAUCUCCACCA
This 364-nucleotide transfer-messenger RNA is filed under the name Christensenellaceae. RNAcentral describes it as "RGIG8762 sp017621155 Standard tmRNA". It matches the Rfam family "transfer-messenger RNA". From Rfam's summary of the family: Bacterial tmRNA, also known as 10Sa RNA or SsrA, is named for its dual tRNA and mRNA-like properties. Its role is to liberate the mRNA from a stalled ribosome. Lineage: Bacteria; Bacillati; Bacillota; Clostridia; Christensenellales. RNAcentral also lists the same sequence under 1 other name. The record is from RNAcentral.